Molecule: ribosomal RNA, 55 nt
Filed under: Oedogonium nodulosum
Lineage: Eukaryota; Viridiplantae; Chlorophyta; Chlorophyceae; Oedogoniales; Oedogoniaceae
Description: partial 28S ribosomal RNA
Source: RNAcentral
UGAGCUCAGAUAAGGCUACCCGCUGAACUUAAGCAUAUCAAUAAGCGGAGGAAAU